AUUUAAAUAGUUUAAAAAAAAUUUUGAUUUGUGGCAUCAAAGAUAUACAGAGUAUUUUAAAUC
This 63-nucleotide transfer RNA is filed under the name Psychodopygus squamiventris maripaensis. RNAcentral's name for it is "tRNA-His". The record is from RNAcentral. Lineage: Eukaryota; Metazoa; Arthropoda; Insecta; Diptera; Psychodidae.